RNAcentral lists this ribosomal RNA (684 nucleotides) under uncultured euryarchaeote. RNAcentral's name for it is "bacterial SSU rRNA". It matches the Rfam family "Archaeal small subunit ribosomal RNA", at positions 76 to 758 of the family's 1478-position model. Lineage: Archaea; Methanobacteriati; Methanobacteriota. The record is from RNAcentral.
CCGUGGCAAACAGCUCAGUAACACGUGGCCAAACUACCCUAUGGACGUGGACACCCUCGGGAAACUGAGGCUAAUCCACGAUACGGCUCCCACGCUGGAAGGCGGGGAGCCGGAAACGCUCCGGCGCCAUAGGAUGUGGCUGCGGUCGAUUAGGUAGACGGUGGGGUAACGGCCCACCGUGCCCAUAAUCGGUACGGGAUGUGAGAGCAAAUAGCCCGGAGAUGGUAUCUGAGACAAGAUACCAGGCCCUACGGGGCGCAGCAGGCGCGAAACCUUUACACUGCACGCCAGUGCGAUAAGGGGACCCCGAGUGCGAGGGCAUACAGUCCUCGCUUUUGUACACCGUAAGGAGGUGUACGAAUAAGGGCUGGGCAAGACCGGUGCCAGCCGCCGCGGUAAUACCGGCAGCCCGAGUGAUGGCCGCUGUUAUUGGGCCUAAAGCGUCCGUAGCCGGCCGGACAAGUCUGUCGGGAAAUCCAUCCGCCUAACGGAUGGGCGUCCGGCAGAUACUGUUCGGCUUGGGGCCGGAAGAUCCGAGGGGUACGUCCGGGGUAGGAGUGAAAUCCUGUAAUCCUGGACGGACCGCCGGUGGCGAAAGCGCCUCGGAAGGACGGACCCGACGGUGAGGGACGAAAGCUGGGGUCUCGAACCGGAUUAGAUACCCGGGUAGUCCCAGCCGUAAAC